AAUCAGUGAUGAAAAGAUUCUGCCAAAUGAUCUCUGAUUAUAACCCACCGUUCCAUCUUGUCUGAGGUU
Molecule: small nucleolar RNA, 69 nt
Filed under: Kryptolebias marmoratus (mangrove rivulus)
Lineage: Eukaryota; Metazoa; Chordata; Actinopteri; Cyprinodontiformes; Rivulidae
Description: Small nucleolar RNA SNORD47 (ENSKMAG00000022279.1)
Rfam family: Small nucleolar RNA SNORD47
About the family: U47 belongs to the C/D class of snoRNA which contain the C (UGAUGA) and D (CUGA) box motifs. Most of the members of the box C/D family function in directing site-specific 2'-O-methylation of substrate RNAs.
Source: Rfam by way of RNAcentral